GGAGAGAUGCCGGAGCGGCUGAACGGACCGGUCUCGAAAACCGAGAGGCAACUCUACCGGGGUUCAAAUCCCCUCUCCGCCA
Molecule: transfer RNA, 82 nt
Filed under: Salmonella enterica subsp. enterica serovar Senftenberg
Lineage: Bacteria; Pseudomonadati; Pseudomonadota; Gammaproteobacteria; Enterobacterales; Enterobacteriaceae
Description: tRNA-Ser
Rfam family: tRNA
About the family: Transfer RNA (tRNA) molecules are approximately 80 nucleotides in length. Their secondary structure includes four short double-helical elements and three loops (D, anti-codon, and T loops).
Source: RNAcentral